UUGAUUAUUAAUUAAAUUAAAGAUUGAUUCUGUCUUUUAUAUUUUAGUUAUAAAUUUAUAUUAUAUACAAGUUUUUGCGUGUUAGGUCUAAUCUAAAGGGUGAUGAUUAUAUUUAUUAAUUGUAGUUUUUUAUUUUAAAUAUUACAUAUUUGUAGAUUUAGUAAUUUUUGUUAGGGCUGUUUAAAGUUGUGCCAGCAUACGCGGUUAUACAAUUAGCUCGAAUUAAUAUUUUUGGUUAGCAUUUAUUUUUGUUAUUGGGAAUUAUUAUUUAUGUUAUUAGGUGAAAUUUUUAAUUUAUUGUAUUUUCUUGGUUUAAUAUUAUGUGAAAUUUGGGAUUUAAACUAGGAUUAGAUACCCUAUUAUUCUAAAUGUAUUUAUUG
This 380-nucleotide ribosomal RNA is filed under the name Cloresmus antennatus. RNAcentral's name for it is "partial small subunit ribosomal RNA". Lineage: Eukaryota; Metazoa; Arthropoda; Insecta; Hemiptera; Coreidae. The record is from RNAcentral.